AUUUCUGAGGAAUUUGGAAAUACUGUGAGUGUCUUGUAAUUGGGCAGCGGCCAGACAACCGUAGAGAUGGUAUCCACAGAUGGUGGGUUUUGCUUCUUUCUCACUUGUCUACUGAUUCCAUCCCACAUUU
Molecule: small nucleolar RNA, 130 nt
Organism: Abrus precatorius (Indian licorice)
Lineage: Eukaryota; Viridiplantae; Streptophyta; Magnoliopsida; Fabales; Fabaceae
Product: small nucleolar RNA snoR143
Exons: 1
Source: RefSeq, a predicted model, not a curated record